Molecule: transfer RNA, 64 nt
Filed under: Dasytes sp. NLG-2013
Lineage: Eukaryota; Metazoa; Arthropoda; Insecta; Coleoptera; Melyridae
Description: tRNA-Val
Source: RNAcentral
CAAAUUAAAGCUUAUAAAGUUUUUUAUUUACAUUAAAAAGAGAAUUGUUUAAUCAAUUUAGUUU